UUUUCUUAUGUCGUUAUGUCCAUGUCGUUAUGUCGAAGAUAAGAGUGCGCGCGCCCAUGUCGUUAUGUCGAUAUGUCGCUAGUGUGCACUAGGCAUUACAUUGCUUACUUUACUUAUUCUAUUCAUGAUUUAACUCACGCACAGGCCUCUGCUUCCUUCUCCCUACGCUGUUACUUUGGUAGUGGGAAUGAGGCAGAAAGGUCUUAUGCCUAGUGCACACUAGCAACAUAACAACAUAACGACAUGGGCGCGCGCACUAUGUUUAUCCCGACAUAACGACAUGGACAUCAUGAAAUAAAAGAAAAAAAAACAAACAUGUUUUUUUUCUCUUAUGUCGUUAUGUCCAUGUCGUUAUGUUUGCAAUGACCAAAUGGUAUCGUGACAAAGAUGACACUGAGACGGAGAUCAACCUUGUUCUUGUCAUUUCUAUCUGAGUUUUGCUUAUACAUUAAGGGUGGUGGGACAUAUUUCGUUAUGCCUAGGCACACUAGCGACAUAUCGACAUAAAGACAUGAGCACGCGCACAUCUUCGACAUAACGACAUAAGAGAAAAAACAUGAUUUUUUCUUUUAUGUCAUUAUGUCCAUGUCGUUAUGUCGAGCUAAACAUACUGCGCGCGCCCAUGUCGUUAUGUUGCUAGUGUGCACUAGGCAUUACUUGGCGAUUCGGUUGUUAGGCGCGCGGGCGAUCAUCCGGGAAGCUCACAUUUUUAGGGGGGGGGGGGGCAGAUCGAAUGGCGGGAAAACAAUUAACGCGCGGCGGCAUUUUUUGCUUGGAAAACAAAUGCCCAAAACAUUUGCGAGAAAAGCGUAAUAAACAGGAAAUAACGUAAAAUAAAAAUGGGCAAGCAUGAGUUUUUACCUAGGGCACCUACUUAGCGACCUUAAAAAGUGCAGAUUUGAGCAAGAAAAGAGUUGUUUCAAUGCGCAUUUCACUGUUCAUAAGCGGGAGAAAAGUCGAUAUUUUGAUAUAAAAAUUCGCAAUGUUCGCAUCAGUAACCAGGCUUUAUCACAAUAUUCAAUUGCGCCAGCGGAUUAUUUCAUUUCAAAAUUUUGGCGGUCGGCGGUUAACCGCCUCAGCGUUACGCGUGUUAUAACUUUGUGUUUUGCCUCUACCUCGAAUUCCUAUCUUCUUCAAGACGCAGAUACAGUGGAAUGCAUAUUAUAAAGUUAAUGGAAAAGGGACUACAAGGACUACAGUAUGAUGUUUGUGGUGAGUAGUAAUCAGAACCAAUACUAUAGAUAAGUCUGUAAGUGUAAAAUUAGUAUAUAUUAUUUGUCAUGCCUUUAACUUAGUAGGUGCUCCACAAGAGCCUGGAUAGCUUUGAGUGUCUAGGCCCUCAACCCUGCUAGCAGAGCUUUCUUCCUGUUUGUAAAUGUGCUUUCGCGUGUUCGUGUAUUAACACACCCCUUUGUAACAGACGCGAAAUAACAGAUAUACUAUUAUAACCGCGCUGAUACGAACUUGUUUUAACACAGGUUUUACAAUUCUUUCGAACCCUGAAAAGCCAAAAAACAUGGACUAGAAAUAGCUUUUUAGAAAUUGAAAACAAGCAAAUUGCCAAAUGUAUAUGCCUUUUAUUUGAAAGCGUUGAUAUCGAUGUACUCAAAAUAUUUUGAUAGAUCAAAAUUACGUGCAAGCGCCGUCGAACUUGCAUGUUAGAUCACCCUUCUAUAGAUACAUACUAAAAAGUACAUGUUUUAUCGAAACUGGUGCUUCCAAUAAAAUGCCAAAUUCGGCAUUAGCUGGCUUGGUAUUUCAAACAGCUAUAUUGUUGUAACUGUGGUUUCUGGCUUUUUAGGAUUCGAUGGAUUACAAAUAGCAGCGCAACAAGUCUUGGUUUGAAUUUCAUAAACAAAUUAUAAACCAUCGAACCCGCAAAACUUAAAACACAAUAAAUAUGUCUUUUUGAUAAAAUUCUAAUAGAAUGGUUCAUAAACCACUGGAAAACUCUUUAGCGUAUUCAUCACUAAUACACCCCAAAUUCAUUGUUCCCUUUUGUUCUGGCUUGACUACAUACUACACUCUGAAUAUUACAAUUUGUUGCACAGGUUUAUAAAUUUUUAUUUUUUUAAUAAAUCAGUUUCUUAUUAAACUUAGUACUGAUACUUAGUACUGCCUCACUAAGUGCUGAUUAUUGAUGUAACGCGAAAUUAGCUAUAGAACGUAUUUAUGUUUUUUAUCACUGGCUAGCAACCCAACUACUACUAACUAUGUAUGCAUGUUAUGGGAUUUGUUAUUCUGAGGACAUUAUGCACUUGUCUUUUACAUUUCACUGACUUACAUGUAAAAAAAAAUUGUUAAUAAACUAUUUUUAACAUGAA
Molecule: long non-coding RNA, 2324 nt
Organism: Nematostella vectensis (starlet sea anemone)
Lineage: Eukaryota; Metazoa; Cnidaria; Anthozoa; Actiniaria; Edwardsiidae
Exons: 2
Source: RefSeq, a predicted model, not a curated record